AGAGAUUAAUUCUAACAAGCCAAAAAAAGUUGAGGAACAGUUUCAGCUUUUGAAGUUUUGGCAGAAAUAUAACUCCGCAAACCUGCUACUGCCCAAACCUCUCUUGCGUAUUCACAUUCAAAUAAGGGCAUAAACUCGUGCAUUCAACUCCCUUUGAUUGGAGGCGGAACCGUGUGGAAGACAAUCCCAUAAAAGCCUCCAUAAGAAGUGUUUGACUUUAGGAGGGAG
RNAcentral lists this long non-coding RNA (228 nucleotides) under Glycine max (soybean). RNAcentral describes it as "long non-coding RNA (GMAX_LNC000123)". Lineage: Eukaryota; Viridiplantae; Streptophyta; Magnoliopsida; Fabales; Fabaceae. The record is from RNAcentral.